UCUGCUCCGAUUAAAGUGUUCCUCUUGGUGCGGGGGUUCGACGGCAAGCAACAACGGCUCGCGGUGGCCACCAAUGGUCUUGGGUGGUGGAAAAAUGAAGUGUUAGGGUUUGGGUGGUGUUUUGGAGAAGAGGAGAGUGAAAAAUCGUGUUUUUCACGCUGUGGAACGUAUUUAUAAUUUGUAGAUCUCGCUAAACCAAAAUCCACUUUUCGCGCUUAGCGCGAGAAUUCGGGCUUAGCACAACUCCCUUUGCACUAGGGCUUGCUUAGCGGGCCAAAUCUCGCUCAGCGAAAUUCCCUCUCGGGUUGGAAUUGCGAUUAGCGCACCCCUGCUCGCUUAGCGUAAUUCCCUCUCGGGUUGGAAUUGCGCUUAGUGCGUCCUUCUCACGUAGUGACACAUCAAAAGUUGUUAUUUUCAAAAUCCCAAUGGUCAGACUGUGGAAACAUGUCUUAGGAAGCUCUAGGAAAAAUUUGAAGAUGAUCCAACGGUUAACGAAUCUGUUAUCGCGAUUUUACUGAGAUAGGUAUGGAUAAAAUCUGAAAUCUCAUAAUUUCAACUUAGUUCAGUAAAACUCCACAUAACUUAGCAUCAACAUCAAGAAAUUCAUACAUGACUAAUUCAAGUAAUACCUCAACUCAUUCAAGUCAACCAUAUAGUCAAAUAACAUGAUAAAUACAAUUAAACAUCGAUUUAUAACUAGUAAUAUUUCAGGGUGUUACAAAACUAGCAGUUUCCAUUUGCCUGACAGAGAGGUGACUAUCACCUUGGAUGACGUUGCGUCGUUGUUACAUUUGCCUAUUGUAGGGUCAUUCCACAGCUUCGAGCUACUUCAUGUCGAUGACGCUGUCGAGAUGUUGGUGGAGUUACUCGAGGUCAGUGCUGCAAAGGCGAGAGUUGAGACCAUUCAGUGUCAUGGGUCUUAUGUGCGACUAUUGUGGAUGCGCGACCUGUAUGAGCUGAAGAUUAAGGCAUGUGACUAGAUUGUAGCAGUGCAAACGUAUUUGUUGUAUCUCCUUGGAUGCACACUCUUUGCUAACAAGAGUGUCACAUAUGUGCACGUGGUAUUCUUAGAUGCAUUGCGUGACCUGACGCAGAGUGCGGGUUACGCUUGGGGCGCUGCUGCACUUGUGCACAUGUAUGAUAGUUUAAAUGACGCGCCCAAAAGCACGGCGAGACAGCUUGUAGGAUAUAUCACUCUAUUACAGUGUUGGAUUUACGAGCAUUUUCCGUCCGUUGCUUUCGUUGUUGCUACCGAGGAUUACGAUGAAAGGAGACCGCGUGCAUGUCAUUGGACCUCUGGCAAGGCACUGCCCGUUUCCACAUAUCAGAGGCGUCUGGAUAGACUAACCCUUGACGCGGUGUGCUGGAUUUCGUAAGGUAACCACCGUUCAUUUAGAGAAUUUGAGGUCAUCUCAUUAUUUUCGGCCAUCUCAGAUGGGGCCCCUUGACGGUCAUUCACCGACUGGAGAGGGUUACACGACAGUUCGGCUACAUCCAGACUAUUCCGCCACACCAUAUCGUGUCUUCACUGUCUGCUGCUGAAAUUGAUGAUAGAUGGAUGCAGUUUGGUGACUACAUUGCACCUGUAGGGCAAUUAUGUGCAGUUCCUGACCACUGUUUGCUAGAUUACCUGGAUUGGUUUUACAUGAUCUCGCACCCAUUCAUGAGUCUGACACAGCCAAGGGAUCCUCCUAGAGUAUCGCCGGUUCAACAAGAUGAAGAAUUUGUUGAACCAGAUAUGCAUCAGCAACACCUAAUGAGGCAGACAUUGAUCAACAUCAUCUUCGGCAUGCAGUGCAUGACUUUACAGCAAUUGUUGAUAGGUUGGACAGGCUACUAAACCUGAGGAUCUUGACCAAAGGAACAAAAGCCUAUACUGUUGUUGAAGAAUGUGUGAGCAUCGCAAGAUGCUACAUUGGCCAGCCAACUGUAGCCCAUAGAUCGAGGCGAAGGUGGCAUACAGACGGACAUUGAAGUUUUACUUUAACUUUGUAAAUUUUCAGUUUAUAAUUUUUGUAUAUUUAUUUAUUUUGGAUAUUUUAUUUAUUUUGUAUAUUUAUUUAUGGAU
Glycine soja is the source of this 2068-nucleotide long non-coding RNA. RefSeq lists it as uncharacterized. The transcript has 3 exons. The record is from RefSeq and is a predicted model, not a curated record. Lineage: Eukaryota; Viridiplantae; Streptophyta; Magnoliopsida; Fabales; Fabaceae.